AUUGAACGCUGGCGGCAGGCCUAACACAUGCAAGUCGAGCGGAUGAAGGGAGCUUGCUCCUGGAUUCAGCGGCGGACGGGUGAGUAAUGCCUAGGAAUCUGCCUGGUAGUGGGGGAUAACGUCCGGAAACGGGCGCUAAUACCGCAUACGUCCUGAGGGAGAAAGUGGGGGAUCUUCGGACCUCACGCUAUCAGAUGAGCCUAGGUCGGAUUAGCUAGUUGGUGGGGUAAAGGCCUACCAAGGCGACGAUCCGUAACUGGUCUGAGAGGAUGAUCAGUCACCUGGGAAGUGGGACGGCGUCCAGACAACUACGGGAGGCAGCAGUGGCGAAUGUUGGGCAGUAGGCGGAAACCUGGUCCAGCCGGGCCGAGUCUGAUAAGAAGGCCUUGCGAUCGUAAAGCAGGCCUUCUGGGUGGGAAGCGCAGUAAGUUAAGACGUAGCUGUAUUGACGGUACCGGGUGAAGAAGCACCGGCUAACUACGUG
RNAcentral lists this ribosomal RNA (484 nucleotides) under uncultured bacterium. RNAcentral's name for it is "partial 16S ribosomal RNA". It matches the Rfam family "Bacterial small subunit ribosomal RNA", at positions 29 to 507 of the family's 1533-position model. The record is from RNAcentral.